Molecule: ribosomal RNA, 301 nt
Filed under: uncultured bacterium
Lineage: Bacteria
Description: partial 16S ribosomal RNA
Rfam family: Bacterial small subunit ribosomal RNA
Source: RNAcentral
CAGCAGCCACGGGAAUACGAAGGGUGCAAGCGUUACUCGGAAUUACUGGGCGUAAAGCGUGCGUAGGUGGUGGUUUAAGUCCGUUGUGAAAGCCCUGGGCUCAACCUGGGAAUUGCAGUGGAUACUGGGUCACUAGAGUGUGGUAGAGGAUAGUGAAAUUUCCGGUGUAGCAGUGAAAUGCGUAGAGAUCGGAAGGAACAUCUGUGGCGAAGGCGACUAUCUGGGCCAACACUGACACUGAGGCACGAAAGCGUGAGGAGCAAACAGGAUUAGAGACCCCUGUAGUCCUGUCUCUUAUACA